Bemisia tabaci is the source of this 343-nucleotide non-coding RNA. The record is from RefSeq and is a predicted model, not a curated record. Lineage: Eukaryota; Metazoa; Arthropoda; Insecta; Hemiptera; Aleyrodidae.
AGAGGGGGGUGGGAAUUUUGGAGGUGGCUACAGACCAACCGAGCUUACAAAAGGGAGACCCCUUCCCUAAAGUUCAAUCAGUGUGAGUUUAGAAAGCGAAGAAGUUCCAUGGGUGAACAGGUCAGAGGGUCAGUGGUUCAGUGGCUUAGUUGUUUAGUGGUUCUGUGCUUCAGUGCUUCAGUGCUUCAGUAAUUCAGUGCUUCAGUGUUUCAGUGGUAGUGAUUUAGUGGUACACUGCAGUCAGCAACCGGAAUUCCAACAUUUGUAGUAACUCAAUUUGGAUUAAGCUCCUAAUAUGUCAUUACUUUGCAUCCAGAAUCGCAUCAAAAUACAUUGAUUGAAU